Molecule: long non-coding RNA, 689 nt
Filed under: Homo sapiens (human)
Lineage: Eukaryota; Metazoa; Chordata; Mammalia; Primates; Hominidae
Description: non-protein coding lnc-KCNB2-10:2
Source: RNAcentral
GGAAUGGUAGAGACCAUUAAAAAAUUGUCUUGAAAACAUACAGCUGAUAUUUUAGCACCGUGCAUUCUGGACAUGUUCACUGAAGCUCUGGGUAAAGAAGUUGGAAGGAAAGCCAUGAAUUGAGAGAAAGUGGGAGCUACAGUGAAGAGAGAGAGCAUGACCUAAGUAGGAAGGGAAGGGAGAGAGGAAAAAGAAAGAAACCACGGAAGGAUGGAAAGGGAGAAACCUCAUCUGGGCCAAUUGGGGUCUGGCUUCUUCAGGGGAGCUACUUAACCAUAGAGCACGUGACGAAAAACGAUUGAAAGAUCAGGUUCAAUCACAUGGGCUGAAGUCCAUCUCACCUCCAGUUCUGUCUUGCUCUGCUUUUGAGGAUUGUUAAUGGUCAGCCUGAUGAAGGGCAGCGGGUAGAACCAGAGCGCUGAAUGCUUCUGAGCUGCAUGCUGGCUCCUGAGCAUUGACAACAUUCUCCUGCCCAUGCAGCAUCAGCCCCAGAAAGAGCUGAGAGAGCUGCCCUGAGGAUUCAUUCUGUGUGUGUUGGAGGAGUGGGGGUGGGGGUGGAGGUGAUUACAGGGAACAACAGAGAAAAAGAGAAGUAUAGUUUAUAAUUUCCCCUUACAUUGAAUGGCUUUGUAGCUGCUGAAUUGUGCUACCUGUUUUCAUACUGAGAUUUAUCUAAAUGUAUUUUAAUG